UACGUAGGGUGCGAGCGUUAAUCGGAAUUACUGGGCGUAAAGGGCGCGUAGGCGGUCAGCACAAGUCAGUUGUGAAAUCUCCGGGCUUAACUCGGAAAGGUCAACUGAUACUGUGCGACUAGAGUGCGGAAGGGGCAACUGGAAUUCUCGGUGUAGCGGUGAAAUGCGUAGAUAUCGAGAGGAACACCUGCGGCGAAGGCGGGUUGCUGGGCCGACACUGACGCUGAUGCGCGAAAGCGUGGGGAGCAAACAGG
RNAcentral lists this ribosomal RNA (254 nucleotides) under uncultured bacterium. RNAcentral describes it as "partial 16S ribosomal RNA". It matches the Rfam family "Bacterial small subunit ribosomal RNA", at positions 524 to 776 of the family's 1533-position model. The record is from RNAcentral.